RNAcentral lists this ribosomal RNA (253 nucleotides) under uncultured bacterium. RNAcentral describes it as "partial 16S ribosomal RNA". It matches the Rfam family "Bacterial small subunit ribosomal RNA", at positions 524 to 776 of the family's 1533-position model. The record is from RNAcentral.
UACGUAGGUGACCAGCGUUGUCCGGAUUUACUGGGCGUAAAGAGCGCGCAGGCGGUCGUUCAAGUCGAGUGUGAAAGCCUCCGGCUCAACUGGGGAGGGUCACUUGAUACUGAUCGACUCGAAGGCAGGAGAGGGAAGCGGAAUUCCCGGUGUAGUGGUGAAAUGCGUAGAUAUCGGGAGGAACACCAGUGGCGAAGGCGGCUUCCUGGCCUGUUCUUGACGCUGAGGCGCGAAAGCUAGGGGAGCAAACGGG